Dermochelys coriacea (leatherback sea turtle) is the source of this 8895-nucleotide long non-coding RNA. RefSeq lists it as uncharacterized. Lineage: Eukaryota; Metazoa; Chordata; Testudines; Dermochelyidae. The record is from RefSeq and is a predicted model, not a curated record. The transcript has 2 exons.
AGAGGUCGGCUCAGGCAUUGCGGCCCGCGCUACACAGCGGCAGCUCCGCACCCCGCUCCUCAGCGCCGUGGGGAGGGGAGGAGCCGGUUCCCCCGCCCCCUGCGGUGCGCUAGUUGCUGGGCCCGGGCAGGUGCGGGAGCUGCAGUCUCCAGCCCCGGGUUCCCUGACGGCUCGUCCCAAGGAUCACGAGUAAGGACGAACGGCUGCUCCGCGUUGCUCCCCUGUAAGCGCUGUUCCUGCCUGGAAGAGAAGGAGGCUCCCCGCAAGCCCCACGCCGCCUUGCUUGUUGAUUGGUCGGGAGCAGGAUUCCCAGCAAGCCACUUUCAGCUCCCCUUGUUGGUUUUACUUCACCAAGGGCAUCUCUGCGCUACAAACUUAAGUCCACCUACAGCCACUGUAGUAAAUGCGGUCCUGUCCACCCUAGCCUCCUUCUGUCCCUGGUGCCCGUCCUUGCCAGGAGUGCUUUCACUGACUUUAAAAGGGUAGUGUGGAGGCAACAGCCUGGCUUGGAGUGGGGAGCCAGGAGCAGCAAAGCUCUAGCUGGAGGUCCCAGUCACCUCAGGGUGACACCAGAGCUGUGAGCCUGUUUGUUUGGUUUUGGUUUUUUGGUCAAUUUCAUGGCUCCCUGCUGCAGUCAUGAAAGUCACAAGAAUGACAGCCAACACCUGAGCUGCUGUUGGAACAGGCUGUUGUUUUGCACCAGCAUCCUAGUUCUAAGGUAAAACAAGCUGCCAAGGAACACAGCUGAAGUGACAACAGGUUUUGCAUAUAACAAACAGCAAGCACAUUUUUCACAUUUUUUUGUUUUUUCUAGAAAGACACUAGAUGCCACCUUAAGAUAACAUACCAACAGGGUGAGAGAAGAAAAUAAAGACAAGAGGCUGGGGCGUUACUAAGGCUAUGGCUACACUACAAGGCUUUUAGCAAUACAGCUGUGCCGCUAAAAGGCACACAGUGUAGCUGCUGUUUGUCAGCAGGAGACAGCUGUCCUGCCAACAAAAAACUCCCGUCCCCAUGAGCGGCAGAGGCUUUGUCAGCAGGAGAGCGCUGUUCACACUGGCGUGUUUCGUCGGUUAAACUUUUGUCGUUCAGGGGGGUGUUUUUUUAACACCCCCUGAACAACAAAAGUGUUGCUGAUGAAGUGCAGUGUAGACAAACUCCCUGACUUAGCAGAUCCAAAUCCCGCUGAUAGGAGAGGACUUACUAAGGAUCAAGUAGAGUAGAAUUCCCUACUCUGGCUGAGCUUGGUACAGCAUGGCUGGGUGUCAUUUAAUAGCCUGUAGGAGGUUAGACUAGAUGAUCUGGUGGUCAUUUUUAGUCUUAAACUCUAUGACUAAGUUCCAAUGACUUGUCCCUGCUGCUACAAAGACAGCAUACUGAGAAAUUAGUGCAGUUUCAUCUCAGUAUGUAAAAGAUUUGAUUCUAGAGAUUUCUAACAGAAGAUACUUUAAGAUUGGUCAUGAAUAUGACUAAAUCCAUCAGUUUCACUUUCCUUGGGACUGACUGAUUGUAUGUUUGAGAAACUACUUUAAUAGGACAACUGUUCAGCACACAAGGCAAACUCCAAAAUUUGGUUGCACAUGAAACUCUAAUUCUCCUCCCAUGUGCGUCUAUGUUAAUAAGUCUAAUUGCAUGAUCACAUCUCAGAAUUAUCCUAUCCAUUUUUCCAACAAUUUAAGGUUUCUUUUCAUAUAACCAUUUGACGGUUAAUUGUCCACUUUAUGCUUACUGAUCUGGACUCGAUAAGAGCUCUCUUCUUACUAUUAUUCACUCUGUAUUUUUAAAAAAAGAAAUUAACUAUCUCUUUCUCCCCAACAGAACAGAUUUUGUUGGAUACAAUUAAUGGGAUGAGAAACUUAAAUACAAAGCUAAAGCUCCGCUCCCACCGCUUACUCUGCACAGGUAAAGACCCAGUUCUCCAUGAGAACUGCAAAGGUCUGCAAAGGCAGAAAGCUCUUUGCAAGAUCAAGCUUUAGUCUGUCAAAUGUUGAUAUAUAUGAUUUAUUGUAUACUUUUCAUCUGAGCAUCACAGAAUCUGACAUACAGAGAAGUACAUAGUACAACAAAUGGUAUCUACAUUGUACAUAUAAUGUUUUGUAUUAAAGGAGUAGUGUGUGGCUUUGUAAUGAAAGAUUAUAUCAAUUUAUAUACAGAAGGUGGCCUAGUUAAGGUUACAUGCAACUUUGGCACUUUUUAACUUCUGAGCACUUCAGUGUGUAACACAAGAUCUUUACAAGCAGCUUUUCCUAUAAAGCUUUAUAUUUAAAAAAGAAAUCAGUGGAGAAAAUAUUGACACUACACUACAUAUUCAUCAUGGGAGUAUGAUUAUGAUAUGAUUGGUUAUGAUGCAAUUUUUACAAGAUGAGUCAUAUGAGGUAUCAUUGGAAAAGUUAUGAUUUGCUGAAUGUUUGUCCUAUUCAUGUGCAUGUUUCAUUUUUGUAUCUGAAGUUACGAAUAUUGACUAUGUAUCUGUAUUUCAAAUGUGCUUACUCUGAGUAACACCCACAGGUAGACUUUCAGGUACAACAGUGAAGAAACUAGACAUUGUUCAUGGCCCAUCAGCAAAGACAAUGGGCUAUGGAAGAGUUUAGCCUUUCUGUAAAUGGUUCAGCCAGUCUGUAAGUAAUGGCUGCUAUGACUCAGCAAGAGCAUAUGACCAGACUACAUAAUACUGAACUCCAUUUUGGGUACCUGUAUUUUUUCACAAAUUGGGUUGUGAACUGUUUUUAGAACAAAGGGUUCCCUGCCAUAUGUUAAAACUAUAUAACGUAGGGUGUGACAUCAUCUAGGGAAGCAGUUCUCAAACUGUAGGUCGGGACCCUGUCAAGGUUCCUUCCCCACUCUGAACUCUAGGGUACGGAUGUGGGGACCUGCAUGAAAACCCCCUAAGCUUAUUUUUACCAGCUUAGGUUAAAACUUCCCCAAGGUACAAACUAUUUUACCUUUUACCCUCGGACUUUAUUGCUGCCACCACCAAGCGUCUAACAAAUAUAUAACAGAGAAAGAGCCCGCUUGGAAACAUCUUUUCCCCCCCAAAAAUCCUCCCCAAACCUUACACCCCCUUUCCUGGGGAAGGCUUGAUAAAAAUCCUCACUAAUUUGCACAGACCCAAACCCUUGGAUCUUAAGAACAAUGAAGAAGUGAUCGGGUUCUUAAAAGAAAAAUUUUAAUUGAAGAAAAAGUAAAAGAAUCGCCUCUGUAAAAUCAGGAUGGUAAAUACCUUACAGGAUAAUCAGAUUCAAAACAUAGAGAAUCCUUCUAGGCAAAACCUUAAGUUAUAAAAAGACACAAAAACAAGAAUAUACAUUCCAUUCAGCACAGCUUAUUUUAUCAGCCAUUUAAACAAAACAGAAUCUAAUGCAUAUCUAGCUAGAUUACUUACUAAGUUCUAAGACUCCAUUCCUGUUCUGUUCCCAGCAAAAGCAGCACAGACAGAGAGAACCUUUGUUCCCCCCCCCCAGCUUUGAAAGUAUCUUGUCUCCUCAUUGAUCAGGUGCCAGCGAGGUUAUCCUAGCUUCUCAACCCUUUACAGGUGAAAGGGUUUUUCCUCUGGCCAGGAAGGACUUUAAAGGUGUUUACCCUUCCCUUUAUAUUUAUGACAACCCCAAAGUCGGAUGCAACCCCAUUUUAAUGGGAUAACCAGGGAUGACACCCAAACCCUACCGCCCGAGGCUGAAGCAAAAGCUCUUGGGUGGCAGGGCUCUAAACUAGUACGCCUUAGAGUGAAGUGUCUAUGGGAAAAUCUCAGCUCCCUGAGCAAAGGCUGUUGCAUAUUCCUCUCCACAUCAAGGGCAGGGUGAACUGAAUAAUAAAUUCAUACUGGUUGGGGUUUUGACCAGGGCAGGAUAGUACAGCUCUGGGGUCUUGCACUGGGGGUUAUUUUGGCUAUAGCCUAUCUAAUGCUGGUUCAUGCAAUGGCUGGCCAGAGCCUGCAUGCAAGUGCACCUGGGUGUGUAAAACUGGGAGCGGGCUGCAGCUUGUCACAGCAACACCGUGUAAGAGGAAACCCAGGCUGAUGAGUUGGAGGGCUCAGUGGUACCCCAGUUCCAGGUGAAACCCUGGUUGGAACCCAUCACACAUGUAAAAAGGCACUUUCCAAGAUCGUAAAUUUUAAUCUUGUCCAAGAAAAAAAAGUUUGCAUGGUGGUAUAUUCCAUGAUCUGGGAACAUAUAGCUAGUUAGAAGCAGACAACCCUCUCUCGUGCACCUACAGCGGGGGGAGGACAGACACCUUCUUAAAAUCUCAGAAAUAGCAGCAAUUUAGGUUCAUCAAACCAAAGACUGUAACAGUCUACCUUGAAUCAACUCUGGGACUUGCCCCAGGAGCCGCAGUCCUCCCAUGGGGGAGGUGGGGUGAGUAGGUAGCUUGCUAAUUUUUUACCUGCUGCACUUUCUCAGUAAUUUCUGAAGUAGUAUGCUGUUUGUUAGAGGCCAUAUCUGUUAUACCUCAGGAAAAGCACAUCUAGUUUUAUGUAAACCAAACACACCAUACAAGAGAGGGUUCUGCUGGGCAUGUAUCCCUUUCAAUCUGUUUAUACUUCAUUAUAGUUCAUUCAACAGAAUUUAGGUUCUGUUUUUACUAUACCAUUUUAUAAUCUGUAAGAGUACUGCUAAUAAAUAUAUUUUAAUUUGAAAUCUACAAUAGCAGCUGUAACUAAUUUGGAAAUGUAGUUUUUAAUAGAAAAAUAUAUAAAUAGCUCUGGAGGGGUAACAAUGUAAUCAUUACUUGUCACUCCAUGAUCAUGUGUCCCACCCUUCCCUACUGCAGCAGCUAGUGUCAUGGAUUCUCCAUUGCAAUAAAUCCCGUGUGUGAUGCAGCUGCUUUAGCAUUUGAAAGCUGGUUGAAAUUUAAACAGGGAAUGUGUGUAUAAUCUUCUUGGCAAGUAUAUAAAAUAAAUCAAUAAAUGAAGCCUUACUAUUUGCUUUGAUAUGCUUGUAAAUGACACAGCAGAUUCACUUGUAAAGCUGAAGUACUGGGCAAGUUACCUGGUCAUGUAGCUUAUGUUAUUAAGCGUUGUUCCAGAGUAUCUUUCCCCACUUUUUAUUUUGAAAUAUUGUCUUAUGCAGUUAUUAUAUAUUUAUUUAUUUUAAAGAUUGUUUUGUGCCCUUCUAAAGCAGUUAAGAGCGGAGCAUAAUAAAUGAGCAAGAAUGGUAGAAACAGAAUGUGUUUUAUGAAAGAUUAUUUUUAAAAAAACAGCUGCAAAUAGAUAUUGUUUUAGAUUUGAUAGAAGGCCAAUGUUAAAGUUUAAUGAAAACCUGCAUUGAAAUAUCAGACUGUGUAGUCAAAAAUUACAGUAUACUCUUGUUAGUACCUGUUAGUAAAUAUUAAUACUUUUAGUUUUCUUUGUUUUUUUUAUAUCUAUAUCUAUAUCUCACAAUCAAACUAUUCUUUAAACUCUUUAACUCUCAACAAAGAGUAUGUCUGAAUUCUAGGGCCCAGAACACUGGUCCUUGACCGAUAACUAACCCUAUUCAGGAAUUUAUCUAUAUUUUAACAAUCUCUGAUGCCUUCAUGUCUGUACAACUCCAGAUAUUCUUGGAAAUCAUCUCCUUAACUUACUUACAUAUAUACAUACACACACAUAUAAUGCUGACAUAAGUAUGUAUAGACAAAUAAGGGAUGAUUGUUAUAGCAGAUGUUUCCUGUUGGGGAAUCACUAUGGAAGAAUGAUGGUGGGGUAAGGACCCACUGAGAGAUAUUAAAUUGUUUGUUCUCCCAGCUGUAAAUACUCAUACCUUCACACAUAAAUCAGAUAAACUGAGAAUGUAUGGAAAUGAUAUAUGUUUCUGGGUGAAUAUUCUUGGCAACAAGGUUUCCUUUGUCUGAAACCCUAUAUAAUGAUACUGAUAUGGGAACUUAGCUGAGGGAAUAAAAGCUGCACGGCCCUUCCAGAUGCAGAAGAGAUACCUAUCCAGGUCUUAGUCUGACAACAAAGGGUGGUAUGUAUCUCUUACUUUCUGUAUAGUGUUGAACUAACCUGAUUGAUAAUCUUAGAUUAAAUAAUUCCAAUUGAGCCUGUUAUUUCAACUCAGAAGUGCAACACUUAAUACAUCACUAAACUUUAAGUAUCAAAUACAACAGAAACAAACAGGAAGCCAGCACUGUGGCAAGUUUAAGACAGCUGAGCACUUGGGUCCAUGAGAUUUUCAAAGCUUUUUAAAAAUUGACUAAAUUUUUGCUAAUUUAUCCGCAAUUUCAUACCUAUCUAUAUUUUUAGUUGAAAGUCCAAUAUCCAAUACCAUCCAUGUAUAAUCUUUACUCUAUAAUUAACCUGGAUCUUUCUUCUUAGUAACUGAUGCACAUUUCUGAUACAUUAACAUUUCCCCUACAUAGUCUACAUUGAGGAUGUCAGGGUUUAGAAUCCUAUUCAACUGACGAGUGAUGCUUCUGUACUGCUUUUUUUUAAUAACAGCACAAAACUAAGUGUUUGAUCAAUCUCAAGCUGCACUUUAUUUUUUGCCAUUACUAGAAAUAUAGUAUACCUACUCACAUUUUUACAGAAAUGGCAUGAAGUAUCUUAUAUAAACUUACUGUAAAUUGGACAGUAGAAGUCUCAUCUUUGCUCAAAGAAGGAAUGGGCAUAUUUUCCACAGAAUUUUCCAAAUGCAUGCAUUUUUUUAGCUCUAGGAGACCCAGCAAGUCAAUUUAAGGUAGAACUAAUAGUUUUAUCCCUGCCCCCUCUUUACUAUUUCUUUUGUAACUGAAUGAUGUAUCUGAACCAUUUUUUGGAUAAUGAAGUAUUCUAAAAUUAGCUCUGAGAGCUAACAUUUGAAGGCUUUAAAAAAAAAAAAAAAGACUUCAAUGUCAGAGAUCAUCUUCAGUGAUAAGCCUUGCCUUUGAGGGUUACCCAAGGCCGUAUUGCCUUUGGGGAUAGAGAAGAUUUUGGGUCUCAUUCAAUACCUUUUUUAGAUUUAUCCUUAAAUAGGAAGCUGAGAGACUUUGUUUUAAGCAGCAAUUUAGUACUGAAUGCUGGAAAUGGGUGUAAUAUCCAUUACAUACCCAAGUAGUGCUUUAAACACAGUAUUUGCAUUCAAGGCAAUAGAGAUCAGCACUUAAAUAUUAAGUGUUGUAAUUUGAGUAUAGAUUGCUUAAACAUACUUUUUUUUAAAAGUUAAAACAAAUUUAAACACAUACUACUGUAUUGUCACUGUUAGCUUCUACUAGGUAUCUGAGUACAAAAAAGCAGAUUUGUCACAUCCUAAUGCUGAAUGCUCCAAACAAAACAAAAAAAAAGUCCAUACAUUUUGAACUCCCCCCCCUUUCCCUUUUUUCAGUUUGUCUCAUCACAGCCUCCCUCCUUAUGAUUACCCAACCUUCCUUCAUAUAAUGGCUCAUGAUGUAGUAACCAUAUGGUACGUACAUCACUGAACAAUCAAAGAAUGGAACCAGCUGCUAGGAUCACAUACAACCUCUUACUUUGCAGUUUCCUGUUUGAUUUUUAAAUGAAAAUACUAAUUUUAACUGUUAAGGAUGUUGAAAACUGUAUUACUGAAAAAAUGCCUGCCCUAAGGCAGAGAAGUGCCUGGAGAAAGCUGUGCCAAUACAGCAGGUUAAGUAAGGAAGACUGAAGUUCUUGUUUGCUAGUCAAAAACCAGGCAGAUUAGCAACAUAAUUCUCAGGGCAUUUUAAAAAAUUACUUUGUUUCAUUUUCUUUCAGUUUCCUUUCUGGGAGUGUGAAGAUGAAAAAGUUACAUUAUACCUCAGAACUAAGGUGACAGAAAUAUAUAAGUUUUUACGGACUGACAGUUUUUCCUUCCAAGUAGAGGGAAACAGCAAUUCCUUUGUCUGAUGGAGAAUGCAAAUUGUACUUAAAAAAACGCCCAAAAAAUAACAUAAAAUACCCCACAUCCUUGAAGUGACUGCUGUUACCCACUGUUAAUGAAAGCUGGCUUUCUAAAGACUAUUACCACACAACUGUUAUCUGAAAAUACUUUGUCCAAACACUGAUUGUUUGACGUUUAUUUCACAAUUAUAGAAACAAAGAUUUUUACACUUUCCCACUAUAGAAAUCAUUUCAACAAAGCUCAAGAUUUACCAUAAAUAAAUGAGUAAACUAGGUAAGUAACAUCAUCUUGAUUUUUUUAUGUUAAAUAACAUCUGCUUAUAUUCUUCAACAUAAAGGAAAGUGAAGCAUUAAAAUGAUUGUUUAUAAAAUUUAAGAUACCCAAGCCUUAAACAUAUGGCUUCAUUAUCAACAUCCUAUACAGUACAUUCUUAAAAUUAUAUCCAUUAUGUGUCAAGUAGUGCCUAUAUAUAAAAGAUGCAUUUUAACACAGUUUUAUGAAGUGCAAUACACUUCAGAGAGAAUACAUUUAACAACUCUAAUAUACUGUAACUAGCAUAUAGUAUUUUUCAGCAACCCACUGUAUGCAAUUAUAUAAUACUUACAAGGUAAGAGGUAAAGACCAAAUCUUCCAGCCCUCAUUAUGACAAUGUUCCCAGUCACAUCAAUAGUUUUGCCUCAGUAAUGGAUGUAGGAUUUGUCCAAAAAUGCACAACCCAAUUUGUGUUUAUGAACAAACUGAAUGUAUUCAAAUAGCAGGUCCAAAGCUUCCGACUGAACAAAACAUUUAAUACCAGUCACAUUGUUUGGUUUAAACAAAAAAUUAGACGUGUUUGAAAUUAAUUAGUGUUCGGAAACUACAUAACUAACAUCACAGCAAAAAUGUAGGUCUCUAUUUCUUGGGGGGUAAAAUGCAGACAAGAAAAAACAAAAUGUUUUCAGUAGCUUAACAGUGUUUGUACAUGUCUUUCCUCUGUCUGGGUGAGAAGAAUAAAAUCUAAGUACACAAAAUGAAUUCUAGGAACAUGCAGUACUGAUAUCAAAUGUGCAAUCUUGGUAUUUACUAUCCCAUAAGGUCUAAUUUUUAUCCCCUAGUAAAAUAAUGGAACAAA